ACACCUCAACUCUCAUGGUUCGCCGUGAUGAGCUUGGACCCUGGGGGUUUGCUGGCCCGCGGUCGGCUCCCCUCAAAUGAAUCAGCCUCCCAGUGUUUGGUGGCAUCACGGGUGUGAUAAAUAUCUACGCUUGCGGUUGUCCGCCAGGUAACCUUUGGCGACAAAGGUUCGCUGGAGCUCACAGAUGUCUCUCCUCAGCGAGGACAGCUUUUUGAAC
RNAcentral lists this unclassified non-coding RNA (217 nucleotides) under uncultured Thelephoraceae. Its description in RNAcentral is "sequence contains ITS2". Lineage: Eukaryota; Fungi; Basidiomycota; Agaricomycetes; Thelephorales; Thelephoraceae. The record is from RNAcentral.